AACGUAGGUGGCGAGCGUUAUCCGGAUUUACUGGGCGUAAAGCGUGUGCAGGCGGGGGGACAAGUGGUGUAUGAAAUCGCCCGGCUUAACCGGGCUCUGUUAUGCCAGACUGUACCUCUGGAGUGCGAGAGAGGGGCGUGGAAUUCCGGGUGUAGUGGUGAAAUGCGUAGAUAUCGGGAGGAACACCAGUGGCGAAGGCGGCUUCCUGGCCUGUUCUUGACGCUGAGGCGCGAAAGCUAGGGGAGCAAACGGG
This 253-nucleotide ribosomal RNA is filed under the name uncultured bacterium. RNAcentral describes it as "partial 16S ribosomal RNA". It matches the Rfam family "Bacterial small subunit ribosomal RNA", at positions 524 to 776 of the family's 1533-position model. The record is from RNAcentral.